CAGGCGCCGUCUGAAGCGUGAUCAUCAGCAGCAAAACGAUCGUAAAUUUGCAGCUAAAUAACAAUAUACACUACACCCCACACACAUACACACAAUUAUACACUCACAUACAUAGUUCACAUUUCUAGUUGUCUAAAUGUCGGCAUAAACAUUUCACUCGACCAUUUUUUACGAGCGAAACGAAACACAAAAACAAAAAAACAAAAACAAAAACAAAAAAACAUAAAAAAAACAGACAGCACAAAUUAAAGCGUGCGACAUUGUGUAAUGCGUAUUACAAUGCCAACAAAAUGGGGCGUGGCUAGCCAAAAAGAGUUACACUUAAAAAAAGGAGAGAAGAAGACAAUAUUUAACGAGUGCUCAGCCUAAGAAGGUCUCGAGCUCCGGACGUGACAACAACACAUGACAGAGAGUUAGAAAAAAUGGACAAGCGCAAAAAAAAAAACACAACAAAAAUCCCAAAAACCCAGAAAGAUUUAUUGAUCAAAGUGAUGUGAAUUGAAUUUGUGACUCAGUUGGCGGCUUCUGUUGCAACAUUCAAAUGCCCGGCCAUGCGUCAGCGCUGGAUAACAAUGCGCGGCGACGCUAUGUUGUCCAUUAGCCGGGAGCAGCUAAUUAAAAUGAAAGUUGUUUCUGUUGCUGCCGUCAAUUUGCAAAGUGAAAUUGCCUACUAGCAAAAUCAGUCAAAGAGCGAGAGGUUGGCCAACUGCAAAUGCCAACAAGUGCGAAAUGCGAUCGAAUUGCUAAGCGAAAAUUGCAGCCACUUGGAGAAAUGUCAGAUUGAAGACUGACAAACGAAAGCGCAAACACUUACGCAAAUUGCCUGAACGAACACUGAACACUGAGGCAAACGAGGCAAAUUAAACUAAUUGAAAUGUGAGUGCCUGGCAAUAAGUGCAGCAGCAAUCAUUUCAUGCUCGAGGAGAGGUCAAAGUGAAAUUCAAUGCGAAAUUGAUGAAACUGCAGCAGCAGCAACUGCAGAACAUAAUCUAAGGCGAGCAUAAUUAGAUAACUGAUUAAGCCAAGUGCAAGAGUCUAAUUAAAUGUUAAUUGUAGUCGAGUUCAAUUUGUAAUUUAAUAAAGAAUGCAAAAUGGGAAACUCGAUACAGAAUUC
Long non-coding RNA from Drosophila arizonae, 1114 nucleotides. RefSeq lists it as uncharacterized. The record is from RefSeq and is a predicted model, not a curated record. Lineage: Eukaryota; Metazoa; Arthropoda; Insecta; Diptera; Drosophilidae.